This 253-nucleotide ribosomal RNA is filed under the name uncultured bacterium. RNAcentral's name for it is "partial 16S ribosomal RNA". It matches the Rfam family "Bacterial small subunit ribosomal RNA", at positions 524 to 776 of the family's 1533-position model. The record is from RNAcentral.
UACGUAGGGAGCGAGCGUUGUCCGGAAUUACUGGGUGUAAAGGGAGUGCAGGCGGGACGGCAAGUCAGAUGUGAAAUAUAUGGGCUCAACCCAUAGGCUGCAUUUGAAACUGCUGUUCUUGAGUGAAGUAGAGGCAAGCGGAAUUCCUGGUGUAGCGGUGAAAUGCGUAGAUAUCAGGAGGAACAUCAGUGGCGAAGGCGGCUUGCUGGGCUUUUACUGACGCUGAGGCUCGAAAGCGUGGGGAGCAAACAGG